UACGUAGGGGGCAAGCGUUGUCCGGAUUUAUUGGGCGUAAAGAGCGUGUAGGCGGUCCGGUAAGUCCGCUGUGAAAGUCCAGGGCUCAACCCUGGGAUGCCGGUGGAUACUGUCGGGCUAGAGUACGGAAGAGGCGAGUGGAAUUCCCGGUGUAGCGGUGAAAUGCGCAGAUAUCGGGAGGAACACCAAUUGCGAAGGCAGCUCGCUGGGACGUUACUGACGCUGAGACGCGAAAGCGUGGGGAGCAAACAGG
This 253-nucleotide ribosomal RNA is filed under the name uncultured bacterium. RNAcentral describes it as "partial 16S ribosomal RNA". It matches the Rfam family "Bacterial small subunit ribosomal RNA", at positions 524 to 776 of the family's 1533-position model. The record is from RNAcentral.